CGCGGAGGGACAUUACUGA
Molecule: ribosomal RNA, 19 nt
Filed under: Colletotrichum truncatum
Lineage: Eukaryota; Fungi; Ascomycota; Sordariomycetes; Glomerellales; Glomerellaceae
Description: partial 18S ribosomal RNA
Source: RNAcentral